Molecule: long non-coding RNA, 435 nt
Filed under: Mytilus galloprovincialis (Mediterranean mussel)
Lineage: Eukaryota; Metazoa; Mollusca; Bivalvia; Mytilida; Mytilidae
Source: RNAcentral
AUUUUAAUCAAACUACAUGUACGAUUCAUAUUAUGAAAGUUUUAACUAUGUAACAGAUGUACCAGUCAAACAGUACAUUGUAUCAAUACUAAUCUAGGUUAAAUGUAUAAUAGUAUAUGAAUCAUAUAUUGAAUACACAUAUACAUGUUUACCAACAGUAAGAAUACGCCGUCUAAAUCUCCUCUGCUGAUUAAGGACAACAGGGAAGAAACAAUAUGUACUUUAGACAACUCAUUUCUACGAAAAUAACUAUUUAUAAAAUGGUCUCUUUUACCAGUUUAUAAUCAAGAUUUUCAUCAGGGGUCGUCUUCGAAAAAUGUUGGAUAAUAUUGUGUCUAUGAGUAGAAGAGAAUACCCCCCUCCCCGAAAUAAACCAACAACAACAAAUAAACCAACCCCAACAACAAACAACAAACAAAAUAAAAAAAAACCAAC